This 600-nucleotide ribosomal RNA is filed under the name Rothia sp. (in: high G+C Gram-positive bacteria). RNAcentral describes it as "bacterial SSU rRNA". It matches the Rfam family "Bacterial small subunit ribosomal RNA", at positions 106 to 714 of the family's 1533-position model. Lineage: Bacteria; Bacillati; Actinomycetota; Actinomycetes; Micrococcales; Micrococcaceae. The record is from RNAcentral.
GUGAGUAAUACGUGAGUAACCUACCUUUAACUCUGGGAUAAGCCUGGGAAACUGGGUCUAAUACCGGAUACGACCAAUCUCCGCAUGGGGUGUUGGUGGAAAGCGUUAUGUAGUGGUUAUAGAUGGGCUCACGGCCUAUCAGCUUGUUGGUGAGGUAACGGCUCACCAAGGCGACGACGGGUAGCCGGCCUGAGAGGGUGACCGGCCACACUGGGACUGAGACACGGCCCAGACUCCUACGGGAGGCAGCAGUGGGGAAUAUUGCACAAUGGGCGCAAGCCUGAUGCAGCGACGCCGCGUGAGGGAUGACGGCCUUCGGGUUGUAAACCUCUGUUAGCAGGGAAGAAGAGAGAUUGACGGUACCUGCAGAGAAAGCGCCGGCUAACUACGUGCCAGCAGCCGCGGUAAUACGUAGGGCGCGAGCGUUGUCCGGAAUUAUUGGGCGUAAAGAGCUUGUAGGCGGUUUGUCGCGUCUGCUGUGAAAGGCCGGGGCUUAACUCCGUGUAUUGCAGUGGGUACGGGCAGACUAGAGUGCAGUAGGGGAGACUGGAAUUCCUGGUGUAGCGGUGGAAUGCGCAGAUAUCAGGAGGAACACCGAUG